ACUAACUACUGCACUGACAACUAAUUAUCAAACUACAAUUCCCGGCGGCCGCUUCUCCGCUCAUUCUGCAAUGGGCGGGUAGCUGAGCACGAUGCUCGCGUCGCCUCUUACAGUCAAGGUCAGGACAGGCAGGCAUAGAUUCCAAAGAAUCCACUGGAGUUACACCAAAAAGAAGAUAAGUGGCAUCCAUGGAACGCAUAACCAGGAAAAAAAAAUUCAGAAGACCAUCAGAGAGCAUACAAAUUCAUCUUUAAGGAAAAUUAGGUCCUGAUUGUUUUGUGGUUGCUUAGUUAACUGUAAACAAUACUGACGUGCAUCGCGGGAGUGCGCGAUGACAUCAUCCAUCUGCACCAGAAUCUCGGGCCGGGACUCCCGCGCCCGGCAAUGCAGCCAACCUGUGUUUGUCUGGGCGAUUUGUGAAGGGAUAUAAGGAUGUCUUGAUCAUGUGCUCAUCUGCCAAGGGAGUAAUUAGGGCGAGCACAACGGCAAGCUGCUGCUGCUGCUGGGAGGCAACACCAGGCCCCUUCUCAGGCCCCCUCCCCUUCUGUCUCCCCCUCUCCAGCCCACACCCCCUCUCCAGCCACCUCACCCCCUCUCCAGCCACCUCACCCUCUCCGGCCCACACCCCCUCUCCGCCCACCUCCCCUCUCCGCCCACCUCACCCCUCCGCCCACCUCCCCUCUCCGCCCACCUCACCCUCUCCGACCCAAUCCCCCUCUCCAGCCCAAUCCCCCUCUCCAGCCCAAUCCCCCUCUCCUGCCCACACCCCCUCUCCGGCCACCUCACCCUCUCUGGCCCACACCCCAUCUCCGCCCCACACCCCCUCUCCGCCCCACACCCCCUCUCCAGCCCAAUCCCCCUCUCUUUCCCAAUCCCCCUCUCUUUCCCAAUCCCCCUCUCCAGCCCAAUCCCCCUCUCCAGCCCAAUCCCACUCUCUUUCCCAAUCCCCCUCUCCAGCCCAAUCCCACUCUUUCCCAAUCCCCCUCUCCAGCCCAAUCCCACUCUCCAGCUCAAUCCCACUCUCCCAACCAAUCCCCCUCUCCCGACCAAUCCCCCUCUCCCAACCAAUUACCCUCUCCGGCCCAAUCCCACUCUCUUUCCCAAUUCCCCUCUCUGCCCCCCUCCCCCUCUGUGUCCCAAAAAACCACCCUCACCCUAUCAUUCCCAAACCCCCUCUGUAAGGUCCUCCCCCUUCCAUACUCUUACACAAUUAGACCCUCCUUCCCCCAUCCUGCCUCCUUCCUCCAUCCAGCACCCAUCCCCCAUCUAGCCAACCUCACCCAUCCAGCCUCCAUCCCCCAGCCAGCCACCUUCGCCACCAUGUGAAUGGGCAGCAGAGGCCCGGAGCCACUUGAGGGAGGUGGGCAAGUGGCAGAGGAAAAUGUGGCAGUUGGAGAUCCCAGCAGUUUGCCGGAGAUUGUUUCCCGCCUUAAAGGAAAUCUGAGGGCCGUCAUAGCGGACUUAGAACUUUUGGAUUCAUUUUUUUAAUUUUUUUUUACAUUUUUUAAAAUUUACAUUAGCUUAAAAAAUAACAAAAUAAAAUAAAAUUGAUUUUGAAGUUAA
Molecule: long non-coding RNA, 1563 nt
Organism: Pseudophryne corroboree (corroboree frog)
Lineage: Eukaryota; Metazoa; Chordata; Amphibia; Anura; Myobatrachidae
Exons: 6
Source: RefSeq, a predicted model, not a curated record